CCUACGGGAGGCAGCAGUAGGGAAUAUUGCUCAAUGGGGGAAACCCUGAAGCAGCCACGCCGCGUGGAGGAUGAAGGUUUUCGGAUUGUAAACUCCUUUUGUUAGAGAAGAUAAUGACGGUCUCUAACGAAUAAGCACCGGCUAACUCCGUGCCAGCAGCCGCGGUACUACGGCGGGUGCAAGCGUUACUCGGAAUCACUGGGCGUAAAGAGCGCGUAGGCGGGAUAGCAAGUCAGAUGUGAAAUCCUAUGGCUUAACCAUAGAACUGCAUUUGAAACUGGUAUUCUAGAGUAUGGGAGAGGUAGGUGGAAUUCGUGGUGUAGGGGUGAAAUCCGUAGAGAUCAAGAAGAAUACUGAUUGCGAAGGCGACCUGCUAGAACAUAACGGACGCUGAGGCGCGAAAGCGUGGGUAGCAAACAGGAUUAGAUACCCUAGUAGUC
This 440-nucleotide ribosomal RNA is filed under the name uncultured bacterium. Its description in RNAcentral is "partial 16S ribosomal RNA". It matches the Rfam family "Bacterial small subunit ribosomal RNA", at positions 338 to 795 of the family's 1533-position model. The record is from RNAcentral.